GAUUUUAAUGUGUUACCGAAAUAGACAAGACACACACUUCAACACGACACAACAGGUCAGAAGGCAAUGAUCCGGAGCAGGAAUACAUGGAAUGGUCGUCCAGGGUGGGUGUCGCCUGGCUCAAUCCUUCCAGGAACUCUUGCUGGAAUACCACAAGCAAUUCUGCAAGAGGAUGGUGAAGCAAUGAGGCAACUUAAUUUGUUAAGCAGUCAGCAGAGCUGCUUAUAAAAUAUUUACGGUUCCGAGACGUAACCACACAAAGGAAGGUCUUCAGAGUACAUAGCAAACCGCACGUCAACACAACCCCCUCGUUAGCAAGGCUGUCUACUUGUGCCAGGAAUAAACUAUUUACAACAUUUGAAGAAAAUCGGAGCCGUUUUCGAGAUCUUUGUGCAAGCAAGCAUACAAGCAAACAUUACUCAUAUUAGAAUAUAGGAUACAUAAAAUAGAUUGUAAAGUACAGAAUUUGUCUGGUUAAGUUAAAAAUUAAUUGUGCUGAGAAAGACUGUAUGGCACAAAUAACUUAAUAUUCAUAUUAUAUUGGAAGGAAAGCACUCAAUGUUUUAAACCACUCUGGCAGAUAGGUUUUUAAUUUAUGACUGGAGGACAGUGAGAUAAUACCUGUACAACUGAAGUUAGCGUGUAAUAGUAAACUAGCGGCAUUGUUUAUUGUAUUAGGUUGUAAAGCCAAGCUACGGUCGGUCCUCCUGGUACUGUUGUUUAAAUGACCAUCACCUCAUAGUAAAAGUAAUGGGAUAAUGAAACUUACUACUUAACUAAUAUAACUGAUGUAACUCCCUAUUUUUAUUCAUGAAUUUUCUUAGUUAUAGCAAUCCAUCUUCCAGCCCUUGAACUCCUUUUAUGAAAAAAUCUUACCUUUAUCUGUAGUCCGAAAUUAUCAUCAAUAGUCAGCACACAGUUUUGUUGCAAGCGCAACACUUUCAAAGUAAACAACAAGUCAAACCAUAAAAAAAAAUAAAACAACAAAAAACAUUUAAUGAUAUGCUUGCAUAAAACUAUUCAGCAGCAUAGUUGUUGAUGCAAAUUUUGGACUAAGACUGAGGUAAGGGAGCGUAAUCUGUUUCUUAAUUGUACAUAACUACUCACAGACUUUGUUGUAAGUUGUAAGCAGCAGAAACAUCUCAAGAAGAUUGAAAAAAGUUUUCAUGAAGAUCCCUUUUGUCUUCGAGCUAUAAACUCCCUCUUAAAUUCAACUAGUAUAAUGAGUGGUUUUGUUGGUUUAUCAUUUAAAUCCAUGAGCAACUAUGCUACAGUAAUAACAGUAUUCAUUGAAAAAUAUAUUGAAGUCCUCAGGUAUAUUUUUUGGAACUUGUCAAUGGUUAGUCAAACUAUUUUCAUAACUAAGUAAAAAUGUGUAAAAUGUAUGGUAAACCAAAUACAAUUAAUGUUCAAAAUUAUUUUGGCUAUAAAGAGACAAACAUGCUGUUCUUCAUGUUUAAAAAACUUGGGUAUCUUCCAACCUCCAAACUCAUUUAUGUACUUUUUACUAUGAAUGCUUAAACUAAUCUUCAAAAUGCAAAUAUCAAUU
This is a long non-coding RNA of Macrosteles quadrilineatus (aster leafhopper), 1549 nucleotides long. RefSeq lists it as uncharacterized. NCBI's taxonomy places the organism in Eukaryota, Metazoa, Arthropoda, Insecta, Hemiptera, Cicadellidae. The record is from RefSeq and is a predicted model, not a curated record. The transcript has 4 exons.